This 253-nucleotide ribosomal RNA is filed under the name uncultured bacterium. Its description in RNAcentral is "partial 16S ribosomal RNA". It matches the Rfam family "Bacterial small subunit ribosomal RNA", at positions 524 to 776 of the family's 1533-position model. The record is from RNAcentral.
GACGAACCGUGCGAGCGUUGUUCGGAAUCACUGGGCUUAAAGGGCGCGUAGGCGGCUUGCCAAGUCAGUGGUGAAAUCCCACAGCUUAACUGUGGAAGUGCCUUUGAUACUGGCGAGCUCGAGGGAGGUAGGGGUAUGUGGAACUUCUGGUGGAGCGGUGAAAUGCGUUGAUAUCAGAAGGAACGCCGGUGGCGAAAGCGACGUACUGGACCUCUUCUGACGCUGAGGAGCGAAAGCCAGGGGAGCAAACGGG